GGCGAGGUAGCUCAGUCGGUUAGAGCGUCGGAUUCAUAACCCGGAGGUCACGAGUUCAAAUCUCGUUCUCGCUA
This 74-nucleotide transfer RNA is filed under the name Flavobacteriaceae bacterium MAR_2010_72. It matches the Rfam family "tRNA". Rfam says of the family: Transfer RNA (tRNA) molecules are approximately 80 nucleotides in length. Their secondary structure includes four short double-helical elements and three loops (D, anti-codon, and T loops). RNAcentral also lists the same sequence under 2 other names. Lineage: Bacteria; Pseudomonadati; Bacteroidota; Flavobacteriia; Flavobacteriales; Flavobacteriaceae. The record is from Rfam by way of RNAcentral.